RNAcentral lists this small RNA (35 nucleotides) under Bombyx mori (domestic silkworm). RNAcentral describes it as "ovarian small RNA-10702". Lineage: Eukaryota; Metazoa; Arthropoda; Insecta; Lepidoptera; Bombycidae. The record is from RNAcentral.
AAGUGCAAAAGGUCGAAGAUGAAUAUACGCAGAGC